Transfer RNA from Fulvimarina manganoxydans, 72 nucleotides. It matches the Rfam family "tRNA". From Rfam's summary of the family: Transfer RNA (tRNA) molecules are approximately 80 nucleotides in length. Lineage: Bacteria; Pseudomonadati; Pseudomonadota; Alphaproteobacteria; Hyphomicrobiales; Aurantimonadaceae. The record is from Rfam.
GCUGCUGUAGCUCAGUGGUAGAGCACUCCCUUGGUAAGGGAGAGGUCGCGAGUUCAAUCCUCGCCAGCAGCA